RNAcentral lists this ribosomal RNA (253 nucleotides) under uncultured bacterium. Its description in RNAcentral is "partial 16S ribosomal RNA". It matches the Rfam family "Bacterial small subunit ribosomal RNA", at positions 524 to 776 of the family's 1533-position model. The record is from RNAcentral.
UACGUAGGGUGCGAGCGUUAAUCGGAAUUACUGGGCGUAAAGCGUGCGCAGGCGGUUUUGCAAGCCGGAUGUGAAAUCCCCGGGCUCAACCUGGGAAUGGCAUUCGGGACUGCAAGGCUGGAGUGCGGCAGAGGAGACUGGAAUUCCUGGUGUAGCAGUGAAAUGCGUAGAUAUCAGGAGGAAUACCGAUGGCGAAGGCAGGUCCCUGGGCUGACACUGACGCUCAUGCACGAAAGCGUGGGGAGCAAACAGG